CCCCAGAACCUGGGAUAACCUCUCGAAAGGGUGGCUAAUACCGGAUAAUGUCUUGAUCUCUUCGGAGAACUUGACCAAAGGUGGCCUCUGUUCAAGCUACUGUUUUGGGAUGGGCUCGCGGUCCAUUAGCUUGUUGGUGAGGUAACGGCUCACCAAGGCUGCUAUGGAUAGCUGGUCUGAGAGGAUGAUCAGCUACACUGGCACUGAGACACGGGCCAG
Molecule: ribosomal RNA, 219 nt
Filed under: uncultured bacterium
Lineage: Bacteria
Description: partial 16S ribosomal RNA
Rfam family: Bacterial small subunit ribosomal RNA
Source: RNAcentral